This 379-nucleotide long non-coding RNA is filed under the name Oryza brachyantha (malo sina). Its description in RNAcentral is "long non-coding RNA (OBRA_LNC001337)". Lineage: Eukaryota; Viridiplantae; Streptophyta; Magnoliopsida; Poales; Poaceae. The record is from RNAcentral.
CUGCUGCUCCCUCUGCUCCUUCUUCCCUCCCCACAUGUUGCGAAACCACCGCGCCGCCCUGCCCAUCUCGCCGGACCUCACCGACUCCGGCCGGCGUCGACAGGUGGCGCUCCGGUCACCAAGCUAGCACCGACCGAGGCGUCUAAAAAGAAAAAAAAAGGAGAGAUUUGAAUAAGAGAGGGAAACUGCAGGGGAGGGGAGGGGAGGGGAGGCGCGUGGUUGGCGUCUCGUUCGAAAUAAAAGAAGAGGAGGAGGUCGGCCACCACCACCAAUGCGGCAGCCAUUACCGGACAAACAAAGCACCUCUCUUUCUCUCUCUCCCUCUCUCUCUAUCUCUCUCACUCUCAUGGAUUAAUUAAGCAUAAAGAAAUGGAUUAGG